UACUCCUACGGGAGGCAGCAGUGGGGAAUAUUGGACAAUGGGCGCAAGCCUGAUCCAGCCAUACCGCGUGGGUGAAGAAGGCCUUCGGGUUGUAAAGCCCUUUUGUUGGGAAAGAAAUCCAGCUGGUUAAUACCCGGUUGGGAUGACGGUACCCAAAGAAUAAGCACCGGCUAACUUCGUGCCAGCAGCCGCGGUAAUACGAAGGGUGCAAGCGUUACUCGGAAUUACUGGGCGUAAAGCGUGCGUAGGUGGUCGUUUAAGUCCGUUGUGAAAGCCCUGGGCUCAACCUGGGAACUGCAGUGGAUACUGGACGACUAGAGUGUGGUAGAGGGUAGCGGAAUUCCUGGUGUAGCAGUGAAAUGCGUAGAGAUCAGGAGGAACAUCCAUGGCGAAGGCAGCUACCUGGACCAACACUGACACUGAGGCACGAAAGCGUGGGGAGCAAACAGGAUUAGAUACCCUGGUAGUCCACGCCCUAAACGAUGCGAACUGGAUGUUGGGUGCAAUUUGGCACGCAGUAUCGAAGCUAACGCGUUAAGUUCGCCGCCUGGGGAGUACGGUCGCAAGACUGAAACUCAAAGGAAUUGACGA
RNAcentral lists this ribosomal RNA (591 nucleotides) under uncultured bacterium. Its description in RNAcentral is "bacterial SSU rRNA". It matches the Rfam family "Bacterial small subunit ribosomal RNA", at positions 334 to 916 of the family's 1533-position model. The record is from RNAcentral.